AAAAUAUAGGUAUUUGCCCUUUAGAGGAGAAUACCAUCGAGAAAUCGGUGUUAAUACUGCAUAAGCCCAGAGAUGGGGAAAGGUGGCCUCAAAGCUACCGCUAAAGGAUGAGUCUGUAACCUAUUAGCUAGUUGGUGGGGUAAGAGCCUACCAAGGCAAAGAUGGGUAACCGGCCUGAGAGGGUGUACGGUCACACUGGAACUGAGACACGGUCCAGACUCCUACGGGAGGCAGCAGUGGGGGAUAUUGCACAAUGGGCGCAAGCCUGAUGCAGCGACGCCGCGUGGAGGAUGAAGGUUUUCGGAUUGUAAACUCCUGUUACGUGGGAAAAAA
This 333-nucleotide ribosomal RNA is filed under the name uncultured bacterium. Its description in RNAcentral is "bacterial SSU rRNA". It matches the Rfam family "Bacterial small subunit ribosomal RNA", at positions 112 to 450 of the family's 1533-position model. The record is from RNAcentral.